RNAcentral lists this long non-coding RNA (1349 nucleotides) under Sparus aurata (gilthead seabream). RNAcentral describes it as "lncRNA (ENSSAUG00010016402.1)". The record is from RNAcentral. Lineage: Eukaryota; Metazoa; Chordata; Actinopteri; Spariformes; Sparidae.
AUGUGUUCAUUGGACAGCCAGGGUCAGUGCAUGAUGCACUCGUCCUCCGAAGGUCACCCAUGUACAGCCAGGCCCUGUACCCACCCACUGGGUACUUCCUGCUGGGAGAUGGAGGGUACCCAUGCCUGCAGCGCCCUGUUGCCAUCAUGACCCCGUAUCGCCAGCCUGUAGCAAGGUCAAUGCUAAGACACAUACAAGGAGGAGCAAGUGGCCAAGAGGAGACGAUGAGCAACCAUCUACAAGCAGUUCAGGCACACAUCAACCCCAGCAAGCCAGCAGGCCUGCAGACUGGCCUGUGAGGCCUUUGCAGGCCUGGGAGGUGAAAGAAAAUGGGAGGUGAAAGAACUCAAUUGUGGUGAAAGGAGGACUCCUACUGGAUGAAGUUGGUAAGUACCUCCUGACUCCAGCCCUGGUGUUGAGGACAGGUGAGUAGUUAACCUUUUUUUUUUUGUGGUGAAACAAUACACAAAGUCAAAGGCAAACAUAGAAGCAUACAUAGUUGUCAAAUAAAGAUUUUAUUGCAGCUCUAUUUAGGCAACAUUAUCAAACCAAACAAUUUCUCUUUCAAGUCAGGGUCUGUCUAGGCCCGAAGGCACCUUGGUCCUCAAUAUUUUGUUUCAUAACCUCUCCUGUUGUCUGUGCUGACCCUCUGUCCAUGGCUGUGGACCUGUGGAUUUGAGGACCCUUGAAACUGAUCAGGCUUUGUGCCCCUGAGGUUCCAGUUUUUUGUUUUUUCACAUUCAACCCAUCCCAUUCACUUUGCAUAGGGACAUGUCAUUUCAGUAGCUUUCAGGUCUAGGGAUGGGCUUUCGAUUAAAUUGUCUUAAUCGAUCGUCGGGAGAAUUAAUGAUCAAUUUUCAAUUAGUCAUUAAUAUUUUUAUAUUAAAAUUCACUAUUCAUAGGCUAUAUUCAAAAUGCAAUGAAAAUACAAAAACACGGCAUGUUUUCCUCAUUGAGAUCUUUAUUACAAGAUAAACAACUCUUGUGGCAGUUAAACAGGAUCUGUUCAGUGUUUACACUUGAAGAUAUGCGCUGCUGUGCUCUAAAGCAGCGGAGCCUGCAGCUAGCAGCCAGUGCUCAUAAACACAACUGACCCUUGUUUUUUUUUUUUUUUCAAAAACAACAACAAUAAUAAUAAUAAUAAUAAUAAUAAUAAUGAUAAUAAUAUUUUAAAAAACAUGUUAAACAAUGACUUAACCAAAAAUAUAUAAUAACUCAAAACUAUCAAAAAAGGCACCGAGUCGAGAAAGAGGGUCAGAGAGAUUAGCGUAGCUAACAAUAAAUUAAGCUUAUUAACAAAGCUUCAUAAAAAGUAACCAGUAACUUACAUACAACUUCAGCACCAGUCU